This 216-nucleotide ribosomal RNA is filed under the name Glomeromycotina sp. Its description in RNAcentral is "partial small subunit ribosomal RNA". The stretch from base 40 to 216 matches the Rfam family "Eukaryotic small subunit ribosomal RNA", at positions 686 to 864 of the family's 1831-position model. The record is from RNAcentral. Lineage: Eukaryota; Fungi; Glomeromycota.
GGGUCAGUAGGUUGGUCGUGCCACCGGUACGUACUGGUCUCACUGAUUCCUCCUUCCUGAAGAACCGUAAUGCCAUUAAUUUGGCGUUGCGGGGAAACAGGACUGUUACUUUGAAAAAAUUGGAGUGUUUAAAGCAAGCUAACGCUUGAAUACAUUAGCAUGGAAUAAUGAAAUAGGACGAUCGAUCCUAUUUUGUUGGUUUCUAGGAUUGACGUA